UNUGACUUGAGUGCAGAAGGGGAGAGUGGAAUUCCAUGUGUAGCGGUGAAAUGCGUAGAUAUAUGGAGGAACACCAGUGGCGAAAGCGGCUCUCUGGUCUGUCACUGACGCUGAGGCUNGAAAGCGUGGGUAGCGAACAGGAUUAGAUACCCUGGUAGUCCACGCCGUAAACGAUGAGUGCUAGGUGUUAGGCCCUUUCCGGGGCUUAGUGCCGGAGCUAACGCAAUAAGCACUCCGCCUGGGGAGUACGACCGCAAGGUUGAAACUCAAAGGAAUUGACGGGGGCCCGCACAAGCGGUGGAGCAUGUGGUUUAAUUCGAAGCAACGCGAAGAACCUUACCAGGUCUUGACAUCCCGAUGCUAUUCUUAGAGAUAGGAAGUUACUUCGGUACAUCGGAGACAGGUGGUGCAUGGUUGUCGUCAGCUCGUGUCGUGAGAUGUUGGGUUAAGUCCCGCAACGAGCGCAACCCUUAUUGUUAGUUGCCAUCAUUAAGUUGGGCACUCUAGCGAGACUGCCGGUAAUAAACCGGAGGAAGGUGGGGAUGACGUCAAAUCAUCAUGCCCCUUAUGACCUGGGCUACACACGUGCUACAAUGGUCGGUACAACGAGUUGCGAGCCGGUGACGGCAAGCUAAUCUCUGAAAGCCGAUCUCAGUUCGGAUUGGAGGCUGCAACUCGCCUCCAUGAAGUCGGAAUCGCUAGUAAUCGCGGAUCAGCACGCCGCGGUGAAUACGUUCCCGGGCCUUGUACACACCGCCCGUCACACCACGAGAGUUUGUAACACCCGAAGUCGGUGAGGUAACCUUUUAGGGGCCAGCCG
This 820-nucleotide ribosomal RNA is filed under the name uncultured bacterium. RNAcentral describes it as "bacterial SSU rRNA". It matches the Rfam family "Bacterial small subunit ribosomal RNA", at positions 636 to 1455 of the family's 1533-position model. The record is from RNAcentral.